AAUGAACGCUGGCGGCAUGCCUAACACAUGCAAGUCGAACGAAAACAUCGGGUCUAGUGGUGCCCGGUGGCGUAAGGGGUGGGAACCUGCCCUUAGGUACGGCCUACCUACCCGAAAGGGAUGCUAAUGCGGGAUAAUAUCUUAGGCCCAAUGAUUUUUUGAACUUGGAUGGGCACGCGUUGGAUUAGCUAGUUGGUUGGGUAAUAGCCUACGACGGCGACGAUGCAUAGGUGGUUAGAGAGGGUGCUCAGCCACACUGGGACUGAGACACGGCCGAGACGCCUACGGGAGGAAGCAGCGGGGAAUCUUACGCGAUGCGGGAGAGGGUGAUAGAGGAAAGUCGGGGGAGGGAUGAAGGAGUUAGGCUGGGAAAGCGAUGUAGGCAGGAGGGAAGUAAUGCUCUAUUACCCGGGAUGAUAAUGACGGUACCUGGAGAAUAAGCCCCGGCUAACUACGUG
This 458-nucleotide ribosomal RNA is filed under the name uncultured bacterium. RNAcentral's name for it is "partial 16S ribosomal RNA". It matches the Rfam family "Bacterial small subunit ribosomal RNA", at positions 29 to 507 of the family's 1533-position model. The record is from RNAcentral.